UGGCGCACGGGUGCGUAACACGUAUGCAACUUACCCGCAACUGGGGCAUAGCCCGGAGAAAUCCGGAUUAAUUCCCCAUAAAACAGGGGCACCACAUGGUGAUAUUUGUUAAAACUCAGGUGGUUGCGGAUAGGCAUGCGGCCCAUUAGCUAGUUGGUAGGGUAACGGCUUACCAAGGCUUCGAUGGGUAGGGGGUCUGAGAGGACAAUCCCCCACACGGGUACUGAGACACGGACCCGACUCCUACGGGAGGCAGCAGUGAGGAAUAUUGGACAAUGGAGGAAACUCUGAUCCAGCCAUGCCGCGUGAAGGAUGAAGGCGCUAUGCGUUGUAAACUUCUUUUCUACAGGAAGAAAAAGUCCGAUUCGUUCGGAUACUGACGGUACUGUAGGAAUAAGCAUCGGCUAACUCCGUGCCAGCAGCCGCGGUAAUACGGAGGAUGCAAGCGUUAUCCGGAUUUAUUGGGUUUAAAGGGUGCGUAGGCGGGACGGUAAGUCAGUGGUGAAAUCCGACAGCUCAACUGUCGAAUUGCCAUUGAUACUGCUGUUCUUGAGUACAAUUGAAGUGGGCGGAAUAUGUCAUGUAGCGGUGAAAUGCUUAGAUAUGACAUAGAACACCGAUUGCGAAGGCAGCUCACUAAACUGGUACUGACGCUCAGGCACGAAAGUGUGGGGAUCAAACAGGAUUAGAUACCCUGGUAGUCCACACCGUAACGAUGAUCACUCGAUGUUGGCGAUAUACUGUCAGCGUCUUAGCAAAAGCAAUAAGUGAUCCACCUGGGGAGUACGGCCGCAAGGCUGAAACUCAAAGGAAUUGACGGGGGCCCGCACAAGCGGAGGAGCAUGUGGUUUAAUUCG
This 857-nucleotide ribosomal RNA is filed under the name uncultured bacterium. RNAcentral's name for it is "bacterial SSU rRNA". It matches the Rfam family "Bacterial small subunit ribosomal RNA", at positions 96 to 953 of the family's 1533-position model. The record is from RNAcentral.